Macaca fascicularis (crab-eating macaque) is the source of this 148-nucleotide unclassified non-coding RNA. It matches the Rfam family "Metazoan signal recognition particle RNA". From Rfam's summary of the family: The signal recognition particle (SRP) is a universally conserved ribonucleoprotein. It is involved in the co-translational targeting of proteins to membranes. NCBI's taxonomy places the organism in Eukaryota, Metazoa, Chordata, Mammalia, Primates, Cercopithecidae. The record is from Ensembl.
GCUGGGCAUGGUGGCGCGCGCCCGUAGUCCCAGCUACGUGGGAGGCUGGAGCAGGAGAAUUGCUUGAACCCAGGAGUUGGAGGUUGCAGUGAGCUGGGAUUGUGCCACUGCACUCCAGCCUGGGUGACAGAGCAAGACUCUGUCUCAA